GCCCAGAUGAACCGCGGGAUAGCCCAGAUGAACCGCUAGAAGCUUCAGUUGCUUUCGUCACCUGAAAACAAAACGAAAGAGAGAGAAUGAGAGAUGACGACGAUGGCUGUGGGAAGCGAUGACGAUGAUGGCCGUGGGAAGCGAUGACGACGAUGGCCGUGGGAAGCGAUGGAGCUCUGGCCGUGGGAAGAGAUGGAGCUCCGACGAUGGCCGUGGGAAGAGAUGGAGCUCCGAUGAUGGCCGCAGGAAGAGAUUGAGCUCCGACAAUGGCCGUUAGAUGUCCGACAUGCGACAAUGCUUCUGGUGACCACAUCGUGUUCAAUCUGCAGCAGAGGAGCUUCUCUUCCUUUUCGUUCCACCAAAAGAAGAAUGAAAUUGCCAAAGCUGUUGAAGAGGAGCUCGAGAAGGCAAUGUCUGCUUACGGUUUUGAGAUUUUGCAAACUCUCAUCGUUGACACUGAGCCUGAUGAACAUGUCAAACAAGCCACCAGUGAGAUGUUGCCUCCUUGCACCCAGAGAAGAAGGUUGGUUCUCGUUGCAGGAGCUGAAACAGAGGCUUGUUAAGCUGAGAGAGGUGGAAGAGGCAGCAGCGCAGGGAACGAGGAAAGGGAUUGCCUUCGAUGAUCCUCAGGUCUGAUAUUCAACAAGCCAGAAAAUCACAAGCCUGUUGCUUAGUUCUUGAAUCAACGAAGCUGAGAAGAAGAGAGAGGAAGAGGAAUCAAAGGAUUCACAAGUCCUUUUGCAGGGAUUGCACGUAUACUCGUGAAAACGGCACUGCAAGCAGCAGCAAAGAAGAGAGAGAUGAGAUACUCUGAUCUGAAGAAGAUAGAGAGACUUUUUGUAAUCUUAUAAUUGUUGUGGAUGAUGAAUGAAUGUAGUUCUUUCGCUGUACUUUUGUGUUGUGUGAAACUCUCACGUUUAAUAGAGAAACCCAUUCUCACGUUUAGUUA
Molecule: RNA transcript, 949 nt
Organism: Brassica rapa (field mustard)
Lineage: Eukaryota; Viridiplantae; Streptophyta; Magnoliopsida; Brassicales; Brassicaceae
Source: RefSeq, a predicted model, not a curated record